CUUCUUGGCUGAGUUAGUGAUCGGCUGAGACAAUUUACUGAUAUUUUGGAGAUAUUCAUGUCACUAAGUACUGAAGCUAAAGCAAAAAUCCUGGCUGAGUUUGGCCGUGGUGAA
This 114-nucleotide non-coding RNA is filed under the name Shewanella amazonensis SB2B. RNAcentral describes it as "ribosomal S15 leader". It matches the Rfam family "Ribosomal S15 leader". From Rfam's summary of the family: The E. coli Ribosomal S15 gene 5' UTR can form two alternative structures. The record is from RNAcentral. Lineage: Bacteria; Pseudomonadati; Pseudomonadota; Gammaproteobacteria; Alteromonadales; Shewanellaceae.